AGCGAACGCUGGCGGCAGGCUUAACACAUGCAAGUCGAGCGCCCCGCAAGGGGAGUGGCAGACGGGUGAGUAACACGUGGGAACGUACCCUUUGGUUCGGAAUAACUUGGGGAAACUCAAGCUAAUACCGGAUAAGCCCUUAUGGGGAAAGGUUUACUGCCGAAGGGUCGGCCCGCGUCUGAUUAGCUAGUUGGUGAGGUAAUGGCUCACCAAGGCGACGAUCAGUAGCUGGUCUGAGAGGAUGAUCAGCCACACUGGGACUGAGACACGGCCCAGACUCCUACGGGAGGCAGCAGUGGGGAAUAUUGGACAAUGGGGGCAACCUUGAUCCAGCCAUGCCGCGUGAGUGAUGAAGGCCUUAGGGUUGUAAAGCUCUUUUACCCGGGACGAUAAUGACUGUACCGGGAGAUUAAGCCCCGGCUAACUUCGUGCCAGCCGCCGCAGUAA
Molecule: ribosomal RNA, 447 nt
Filed under: uncultured bacterium
Lineage: Bacteria
Description: partial 16S ribosomal RNA
Rfam family: Bacterial small subunit ribosomal RNA
Source: RNAcentral